Molecule: long non-coding RNA, 699 nt
Organism: Gadus macrocephalus (Pacific cod)
Lineage: Eukaryota; Metazoa; Chordata; Actinopteri; Gadiformes; Gadidae
Exons: 2
Source: RefSeq, a predicted model, not a curated record
AAAUGUACCGAAAUAAAUUACUAAGUCCUUGUGUGCAGUGGUGGUUUUAGGUACGGGCAAACCAGGCAGCCCGGGGCGGCAUAUUUGUGGGGGGCGCCAAGUCACAUGGGGGGCGCCACGAGCAGUAAAAAAAAAUUUGCGCUGCGUAGCGGUUAUCAAUGAAGUACUACAUAACAUUGUGUUGGGAAUAGGUAUUUUGGCGCCCCCUCUGGCUGCAGGCGCACACCUGCUCGUUGAGAAGGUGCCAUGCGCAGACGGAAUGAAACCCCCACUGAAGUCCGUAGGUUCUAGUGGCCGCUUGGCGCCACUGGUCCUCACCCCUCUACACACCUGUCUGCAAUCUACGAUCACCGUUCCCUACUUCAGCCGAGGAUCUCCCGGCUGAAGUAGGGAACGGUAGUAGGGAAGUAGGGAAUCAGCCGGCGCCAGUUCGUCGUUUACCACUACUCAUUCUCCGUUCGUCACCCUGACCCCCUGUUGCCGAAUCCCUGCCUGCCUGACUACCCGCCUAUCGCCGAGCCCCUGCCUGCCUGACUGCCUGCCCAUUGCCGAAUCCCCGCCUGCCUGACUACCCGCCUACCGCCGAGCCCCUGCCUGCCUGACUGCCUACCUGUUACCGAACCCUCGCCUGCCUGACCAUGGCUUGGCUAGCCCCGGCUUGUCGUUACUCCUUGCCCAAUAAACCCAACUUCCUAUCCA